RNAcentral lists this ribosomal RNA (496 nucleotides) under uncultured bacterium. RNAcentral describes it as "partial 16S ribosomal RNA". It matches the Rfam family "Bacterial small subunit ribosomal RNA", at positions 29 to 507 of the family's 1533-position model. The record is from RNAcentral.
AUGAACGCUGGCGGCGUGCCUAAUACAUGCAAGUCGAGCGAACAGACGAGGAGCUUGCUCCUCUGAUGUUAGCGGCGGACGGGUGAGUAACACGUGGAUAACCUACCUAUAAGACUGGGAUAACUUCGGGAAACCGGAGCUAAUACCGGAUAACAUGUUGAACCGCAUGGUUCAACAGUGAAAGACGGUCUUGCUGUCACUUAUAGAUGGAUCCGCGCCGCAUUAGCUAGUUGGUAAGGUAACGGCUUACCAAGGCAACGAUGCGUAGCCGACCUGAGAGGGUGAUCGGCCACACUGGAACUGAGACACGGUCCAGACUCCUACGGGAGGCAGCAGUAGGGAAUCUUCCGCAAAGGGCGAAAGCCUGACGGAGCAACGCCGCGUGAGUGAAGAAGGUCUUCGGAUCGUAAAACUCUGUUAUUAGGGAAGAACAAAUGUGUAAGUAACUAUGCACGUCUUGACGGUACCUAAUCAGAAAGCCACGGCUAACUACGUG